Molecule: long non-coding RNA, 407 nt
Organism: Mytilus trossulus (common blue mussel)
Lineage: Eukaryota; Metazoa; Mollusca; Bivalvia; Mytilida; Mytilidae
Exons: 3
Source: RefSeq, a predicted model, not a curated record
GUAAAACAACAGCACUCGAGGUCUGACAGUAUUUUACCAAGAAAUGCACAAAAUAUUCAAAAAGAAGGCCUAGAAAAUUUAAAUAUUGGACAAGAACUAUAGAAGAUACAGAGAAAUACUAUACAGCAGAAAUGAUAGGCAAUGUAAAAUUUGCAGAAGCUAACUAAACCUAAAUGGUGAUCAGACAUCUUGGUUUUCAUGAUCAAUAGGUCAUUACUGAAGAGGAAACUUAAAGUCGAAAUUUAUUUACAUAGUGCAUAAUUGGAUUAAUUUGAAAUGGAAUGUGUGCUUUCCUGCAAAAAAGAAAUAGGAAAUUUCAACAUGUGAUAAUGACCAUAUAAAACAAAAUGGAGUUCUAUCAUAGAUACACAAAAACACUAUUGCAUAAAAGCAACAACAUAUCUUAA